Molecule: ribosomal RNA, 433 nt
Filed under: uncultured bacterium
Lineage: Bacteria
Description: bacterial SSU rRNA
Rfam family: Bacterial small subunit ribosomal RNA
Source: RNAcentral
AACGAACGCUGGCGGCAGGCCUAACACAUGCAAGUCGAGCGAUCCUUUCGGGGAUAGCGGCGGACGGGUGAGUAACGCGUGGGAACGUACCCUUUGCUACGGAAUAGCCCCGGGAAACUGGGAGUAAUACCGUAUGUGCCCUCUGGGGGAAAGAUUUAUCGGCAAAGGAUCGGCCCGCGUUGGAUUAGGUAGUUGGUGGGGUAAUGGCCCACCAAGCCGACGAUCCAUAGCUGGUUUGAGAGGAUGAUCAGCCACACUGGGACUGAGACACGGCCCAGACUCCUACGGGAGGCAGCAGUGGGGAAUCUUAGGCAAUGGGGGCAACCCUGAUCUAGCCAUGCCGCGUGAGUGAUGAAGGCCCUAGGGUUGUAAAGCUCUUUCAGCUGGGAAGAUAAUGACGGUACCAGCAGAAGAAGCCCCGGCUAACUCCGUG